GUGUACCAGUUGUUCUGCCAAGAGCACCGCUGGGUAGCUACGUAUGGAUUAGAUAAUCGCUGAAAGCAUCUAAGUGAGAAACUAACCUCGAGAUGAGAUUUCCCAUUCGUCAGAAGUAAGACCCCUGAGAGACGAUCAGGUAGAUAGGCUAGAAGUGGAAGUGUAGUGAUGCAUGGAGCGGACUAGUACUAAUAGGUCGAGGACUUAACCAAG
This 213-nucleotide ribosomal RNA is filed under the name Oenococcus oeni. RNAcentral describes it as "partial 23S ribosomal RNA". It matches the Rfam family "Bacterial large subunit ribosomal RNA", at positions 2712 to 2925 of the family's 2925-position model. Lineage: Bacteria; Bacillati; Bacillota; Bacilli; Lactobacillales; Lactobacillaceae. The record is from RNAcentral.